Molecule: ribosomal RNA, 305 nt
Filed under: uncultured bacterium
Lineage: Bacteria
Description: bacterial SSU rRNA
Rfam family: Bacterial small subunit ribosomal RNA
Source: RNAcentral
UGUACCUACGGGGCGCAGCAGUGGGGAAUUUUGGACAAUGGGCGCAAGCCUGAUCCAUCUAUUCCGCGUGUGGGAUGACGGCCCUCGGGUUGUAAACCACUUUAGUAGAGAACGAAAAGGAGCUAUCGAAUAAAUAGCUCUGCUGACGGUACUCUAAGAAUAAGCACCGGCUAACUACGUGCCAGCAGCCGCGGUAAUACGUAGGGUGCGAGCGUUAAUCGGAAUUACUGGGCGUAAAGGGUGUGCAGGCGGCUGAGUAAGACAGAUGUGAAAUCCCGGGGCUUAACCCCGGAACUGCUUUCAAA